GGCUCCCCAUUCGACCCGUC
Molecule: small nuclear RNA, 20 nt
Filed under: Arabidopsis thaliana (thale cress)
Lineage: Eukaryota; Viridiplantae; Streptophyta; Magnoliopsida; Brassicales; Brassicaceae
Description: snRNA_10563
Source: RNAcentral